Molecule: transfer RNA, 85 nt
Filed under: Halobacteriovoraceae bacterium
Lineage: Bacteria; Pseudomonadati; Bdellovibrionota; Bacteriovoracia; Bacteriovoracales; Halobacteriovoraceae
Also listed under: 1 other name
Description: tRNA-Leu
Rfam family: tRNA
About the family: Transfer RNA (tRNA) molecules are approximately 80 nucleotides in length. Their secondary structure includes four short double-helical elements and three loops (D, anti-codon, and T loops).
Source: RNAcentral
GGCCUCAUGGUGGAAUGGUAGACACGAUUGAUUCAAAAUCAAUUGCUCUUUGAGUGUGCCAGUUCAAGUCUGGCUGAGGCUACCA